Molecule: non-coding RNA, 145 nt
Organism: Gossypium hirsutum (cotton)
Lineage: Eukaryota; Viridiplantae; Streptophyta; Magnoliopsida; Malvales; Malvaceae
Source: Rfam
UAUAAAAAAAAUUCAUCCAUUUGUAUUGUUAAAAUCUGGUGUGAUUGUGAAAUAAUCAGACAGUGACAUAUGGCAUGUCAUGUGUACCUCAAGCUGACAUAUAAAGACGAGCUUUUAAUACUAGAAAUUGAUGAAAUUUUUAAUA